This 414-nucleotide ribosomal RNA is filed under the name bacterium enrichment culture clone ALO1_GLFRUDD03FNBTZ. RNAcentral describes it as "bacterial SSU rRNA". It matches the Rfam family "Bacterial small subunit ribosomal RNA", at positions 9 to 425 of the family's 1533-position model. The record is from RNAcentral.
GAGUUUGAUCAUGGCUCAGACUGAACGCUGGCGGCAUGCCUUACACAUGCAAGUCGAACGGCAGCACGGGAGCUUGCUCCUGGUGGCGAGUGGCGAACGGGUGAGUAAUGCAUCGGAACGUAUCCUGGAGUGGGGGAUAACGUAGCGAAAGUUACGCUAAUACCGCAUAUUCUGUGAGCAGGAAAGCGGGGGACCUUCGGGCCUCGCGCUCUUGGAGCGGCCGAUGUCGGAUUAGCUAGUUGGUGAGGUAAAGGCUCACCAAGGCGACGAUCCGUAGCAGGUCUGAGAGGAUGAUCUGCCACACUGGAACUGAGACACGGUCCAGACUCCUACGGGAGGCAGCAGUGGGGAAUUUUGGACAAUGGGGGCAACCCUGAUCCAGCCAUGCCGCGUGAGUGAGGAAGGCCUCGGUUG